This 253-nucleotide ribosomal RNA is filed under the name uncultured bacterium. RNAcentral's name for it is "partial 16S ribosomal RNA". It matches the Rfam family "Bacterial small subunit ribosomal RNA", at positions 524 to 776 of the family's 1533-position model. The record is from RNAcentral.
UACAGAGGGGGCAAGCGUUGUUCGGAAUUACUGGGCGUAAAGGGCUCGUAGGCGGCCUGUUAAGUCGAACGUGAAAUCCCCGGGCUCAACCCGGGAACUGCGUCCGAUACUGGCAGGCUUGAAUCCGGGAGAGGGAUGCGGAAUUCCAGGUGUAGCGGUGAAAUGCGUAGAUAUCUGGAGGAACACCGGUGGCGAAGGCGGCAUCCUGGACCGGCAUUGACGCUGAGGCGCGAAAGCCAGGGGAGCAAACGGG